CUGAAGGUCACUUGUGGAUUGGAUGGAGCCCACCCCUUGCCUGAACCUUCUCUGCAGGUCAGCCCUAAGGGGCUGGGAGAUGUUCCUGUUCCUAACAGCCUACCCGAGGCCCGGGUGUAUGACCAGCAUCAGUUGGAUGCAAAUCCUAUGGGUGAGACUGAAGCAAAUGACCCCAUCUAUCCUGCAAAACCUGAAGAAGCCAUCACGGGGUAUGUGGAUUCACAGACAAAUUCAUUAUAUUUGAAUGAUAUAUUUCAGCAAUGUUAGGACAACUACCUGUUAGGUACAUUCAGAAGCCCUGUUGUUUAUUAUUGGCAGGUCCCAUGACACCUGGUGGGCUUGGUACUCUGAUAGAUAUGGAUCUUUCUUCGAGCAGACGAACAGUGUCAACUCCACAUCAGAUGAGUGUGAUUACCUGGACUCUAACUCUGAUGAAGAAGAACACGAGAUGCAUGGACAUCUG
Long non-coding RNA from Clupea harengus (Atlantic herring), 463 nucleotides. RefSeq lists it as uncharacterized. The record is from RefSeq and is a predicted model, not a curated record. NCBI's taxonomy places the organism in Eukaryota, Metazoa, Chordata, Actinopteri, Clupeiformes, Clupeidae.